AUAUUGCACAAUGGGGGAAACCCUGAUGCAGCAACGCCGCGUGAGUGAUGACGGCCUUCGGGUUGUAAAGCUCUGUCUUCAGGGACGAUAAUGACGGUACCUGAGGAGGAAGCCACGGAUAACUACGUGCCAGCAGCCGCGGUAAUACGUAGGUGGCAAGCGUUGUCCGGAUUUACUGGGCGUAAAGGGAGCGUAGGCGGACUUUUAAGUGAGAUGUGAAAUACCCGGGCUCAACCUGGGUGCUGCAUUUCAAACUGGAAGUCUAGAGUGCAGGAGAGGAGGGUGGAAUUCCUAGUGUAGCGGUGAAAUGCGUAGAGAUUAGGAAGAACACCAGUGGCGAAGGCGACUCUCUGGACUGUAACUGACGCUGAGGCUCGAAAGCGUGGGGAGCAAACA
This 396-nucleotide ribosomal RNA is filed under the name uncultured bacterium. RNAcentral describes it as "bacterial SSU rRNA". It matches the Rfam family "Bacterial small subunit ribosomal RNA", at positions 361 to 774 of the family's 1533-position model. The record is from RNAcentral.